UACGAAGGGUGCUAGCGUUGUUCGGAAUCAUUGGGCGUAAAGCGUGCGUAGGCGGCUUGGUAAGUCGGCUGUGAAAUCCCAGAGCUUAACUCUGGAACUGCGGUCGAAACUGCCUCGCUAGAGUGUGGCGGGGGAUAGUGGAAUUCCUAGUGUAGGGGUGGAAUCCGUAGAUAUUAGGAGGAACACCGGUGGCGAAAGCGACUAUCUACACCAUUACUGACGCUGAGGCACGAAAGCGUGGGGAGCAAACAGG
This 253-nucleotide ribosomal RNA is filed under the name uncultured bacterium. RNAcentral describes it as "partial 16S ribosomal RNA". It matches the Rfam family "Bacterial small subunit ribosomal RNA", at positions 524 to 776 of the family's 1533-position model. The record is from RNAcentral.